This 253-nucleotide ribosomal RNA is filed under the name uncultured archaeon. RNAcentral's name for it is "partial 16S ribosomal RNA". It matches the Rfam family "Archaeal small subunit ribosomal RNA", at positions 474 to 726 of the family's 1478-position model. The record is from RNAcentral.
UCCCGGCGCCACAAGUGGUAUUCACGAUUAUUGAGUCUAAAGCAUCCGUAGCCGGUUUGUUAAGUUCUCUGUGAAAUCCGGCAGCUUAACUGUCGGGCGUGCAGAGAAAACUGACAAGCUAGAAAGCGGGAGAAGCAGGCGGUAUGCCCAAGGGAGCGGUAAAAUGUUUUAAUCUUGGGUGGACCUCCGAUGGCGAAGGCAGCCUGCUAGAACGCAUUUGACGGUGAGGGAUGAAAGCUGGGGGAGCAAAAGG